CUACAGUCCGCCGCCCCCCAGCCCCAGCCUCGCCUGGACUGACGCCCGGCCCGGAGCCAGAGUGAGGCGGAGGAAAGUUAAUCAUGAUGGUGGACGCAGGUGUCUGUGACAGGUGGCGCCCGAACAGGGACUCAGGGAGUCUGAAAGAGUGGCUUUCCCACUGGCGAGUAGCCGUGAAACAAGGUGGGCUGUUUGGCCAACAGCCAUAACAAGGAGUGGCUCCAGCCGUCUGAAACAAGAUGGUCAACAGGUUGCCUGAAAGAAGAUGGCCCACUGUUUGAAAGAAAACGGCAAACAGGGAGCCAAGAUGGUGGAGUGAACAGGUAGUCACUGUCACUACCAACCUCUGAAAACCUGGAAAAUAU
Molecule: non-coding RNA, 365 nt
Organism: Phascolarctos cinereus (koala)
Lineage: Eukaryota; Metazoa; Chordata; Mammalia; Diprotodontia; Phascolarctidae
Source: RefSeq, a predicted model, not a curated record